CACGUAGGGUGCGAGCGUUGUCCGGAAUUAUUGGGCGUAAAGAGCUCGUAGGCGGUGUGUCGCGUCGGCCGUGAAAACCUGUGGCUCAACCCUGGGAUGCCGGUCGAUACUGCCGGACUAGAGUUCGGAAGAGGCGAGUGGAAUUCCCGGUGUAGCGGUGAAAUGCGCAGAUAUCGGGAGGAACACCAAUGGCGAAGGCAGUUCGCUGGGACGUUACUGACGCUGAGACGCGAAAGCGUGGGGAGCAAACAGG
RNAcentral lists this ribosomal RNA (253 nucleotides) under uncultured bacterium. RNAcentral describes it as "partial 16S ribosomal RNA". It matches the Rfam family "Bacterial small subunit ribosomal RNA", at positions 524 to 776 of the family's 1533-position model. The record is from RNAcentral.